Molecule: ribosomal RNA, 427 nt
Filed under: uncultured bacterium
Lineage: Bacteria
Description: partial 16S ribosomal RNA
Rfam family: Bacterial small subunit ribosomal RNA
Source: RNAcentral
UGGGGAAUAUUGGACAAUGGGCGAAAGCCUGAUCCAGCCAUGCCGCGUGUGUGAAGAAGGUCUUCGGAUUGUAAAGCACUUUAAGUUGGGAGGAAUGGCAGUAAGCUAAUACCUUGCUGUUUUGACGUUACCGACAGAAUAAGCACCGGCUAACUCUGUGCCAGCAGCCGCGGUAAUACAGAGGGUGCAAGCGUUAAUCGGAAUUACUGGGCGUAAAGCGCGCGUAGGUGGUUUGUUAAGUUGGAUGUGAAAGCCCCGGGCUCAACCUGGGAACUGCAUCCAAAACUGGCAGGCUAGAGUACGGUAGAGGGUGGUGGAAUUUCCUGUGUAGCGGUGAAAUGCGUAGAUAUAGGAAGGAACACCAGUGGCGAAGGCGACCACCUGGACUGAUACUGACACUGAGGUGCGAAAGCGUGGGGAGCAAACA